This 481-nucleotide ribosomal RNA is filed under the name uncultured bacterium. RNAcentral's name for it is "partial 16S ribosomal RNA". It matches the Rfam family "Bacterial small subunit ribosomal RNA", at positions 28 to 507 of the family's 1533-position model. The record is from RNAcentral.
GAUGAACGCUGGCGGCGUGCUUAACACAUGCAAGUCGAACGAAGCACUUUAUUUGAUUUCCUUCGGGACUGAUUAUUUUGUGACUGAGUGGCGGACGGGUGAGUAACGCGUGGGUAACCUGCCUUGUACAGGGGGAUAACAGUUGGAAACGGCUGCUAAUACCGCAUAAGCGCACGGCAUCGCAUGAUGCAGUGUGAAAAACUCCGGUGGUAUAAGAUGGACCGGCGUAGGAUUAGCUAGUUGGUGAGGUGACGGCCCACCAAGGCGACGAUCCAUAGCCGACGUGAGAGGGUGACCGGCCACAUUGGGACUGAGACACGGCCUAAACUCCUACGGGAGGCAGCAGUGGGGAAUAUUGCACAAUGGGCGAAAGCCUGAUGCAGCGACGCCGCGUGAGCGAAGAAGUAUUUCUGUAUGUAAAGCUCUAUCAGCAGGGAAGAUAAUGACGGUACCUGACUAAGAAGCACCGGCUAAAUACGUG